Molecule: transfer RNA, 64 nt
Filed under: Nipponoluciola cruciata (Japanese firefly)
Lineage: Eukaryota; Metazoa; Arthropoda; Insecta; Coleoptera; Lampyridae
Description: Luciola cruciata (Japanese firefly) tRNA-Leu
Rfam family: tRNA
About the family: Transfer RNA (tRNA) molecules are approximately 80 nucleotides in length. Their secondary structure includes four short double-helical elements and three loops (D, anti-codon, and T loops).
Source: RNAcentral
UCUAAUAUGGCAGAAUAGUGCAAUGGACUUAAGACCCAUAUAUAAAGUUUAACUUUUCUUAGAA